CCAAUCGAACCCGGAGAUAGCUGGUUCUCCUCGAAAUAGCUUUAGGGCUAGCCUCAUACAAGUCUGCCGGAGGUAGAGCACUGAAUUUCCGCGGGGGCGUCAAAGCCUACCAAAGAAUAUCAAACUCCGAAUGCCGGACAGAUGGUGUAUGGGAGUCAGACUGUACGAGAUAAGUUGGACAGUCAAAAGGGAAAGAGCCCAGACCGCCGGCUAAGGUCCCAAAGUGGGUGUUAAGUGGAAAAGGAUGUGGGAUCUCUAAGACAACCAGGAUGUUGGCUCAGAAGCAGCCAUUCAUUAAAAGAGUGCGUAACAGCUCACUGGUCGAGAGGUCCUGCGCCGAAAAUGUCCGGGGCUGAAACACCACACCGAAGCCGCGGAACCCGUAAGGGUUGGUAGAGGAGCAUUCUUAGGGGAGCGAAGCAUUACCGGAAGGGGAUGUGGACCGCUAAGAAGAGAGAAUGCCGGAAUGAGUAGCGAGAGCAAGGUGGGAAUCCUUGCGGCCGAAUAUCCAAGGUUUCCAGAGUAAAGCUGAUCUGCUCUGGGUAAGUCGGGGCCUAAGGAGAGGCAGAGAUGCGUAUCCGAUGGACAGCAGGUUUAAGAUUCCUGCACCCCUUGUUAUCAGAACUGCGGGGACACGGGAAGGGAAGCAGAGCCGGGAAUGGAAAGCCCGGUGCAAGCGAAGUAGUCGCAGGGCUGGAAAAUCCGCCCUGCAUAAGACGAAGGCGUGAUGCGGAGCGAAAUGAAGUAGUGAAGCUGCGGCCCCUUCCUGUCGAGAAAAGCCGCUAUCGUGUAGCAAGGGCCCGUACCGUAAACCGACACAGGUGGAUGAGGAGAGGAUCCUAAGGCCGGCGGGAGAAGUGUUGUUAAGGAACUCGGCAAAAUGACUCCGUAACUUCGGGAGAAGGAGUGCUGCGCAAGCAGCCGCAGAGAAAUGGCCCAAGCAACUGUUUAGCAAAAACACAGGUCUAUGCGAAACCGAAAGGUGAGGUAUAUGGGCUGACGCCUGCCCGGUGCUGGAAGGUUAAGGGGAGAGGUUAGCGCAAGCGAAGCUUUGAACUUAAGCCCCAGUAAACGGCGGCCGUAACUAUAACGGUCCUAAGGUAGCGAAAUUCCUUGUCGGGUAAGUUCCGACCCGCACGAAAGGCGUAAUGAUUUGGGCACUGUCUCAACAAUGCACCCGGUGAAAUUGAAAUACCAGUGAAGAUGCUGGUUACCUGCGCCAGGACGGAAAGACCCCAUGGAGCUUUACUCCAGCUUGAUACUGGGAUUCGGUAUUGCAUGUACAGGAUAGGUGGGAGGCUAGGAAGUGGUAACGCCAGUUGCCAUGGAGCCGCUGUUGGGAUACCACCCUUGCAGUACUGGGUUUCUAACCAGCAGCCGUGACCCGGCUGGGGGACAAUGUCAGGUGGGGAGUUUGACUGGGGCGGUCGCCUCCGAAAGGGUAUCGGAGGCGCUCAAAGGUUCCCUCAGAAUGGUUGGAAACCAUUCGAAGAGUGCAAAGGCAGAAGGGAGCUUGACUGCGACACCGACGG
Molecule: ribosomal RNA, 1532 nt
Filed under: human gut metagenome
Description: bacterial LSU rRNA
Rfam family: Bacterial large subunit ribosomal RNA
Source: RNAcentral